UACAGAGGCCACAAGCGUUAGUCGGAAUCACUGGGCUUAAAGGGUGCGUAGGCGGGCUCGCAAGCGUCUUGUGAAAUCCCAUGGCUCAACCAUGGAAUUGCAGGGCGAACUGCGAGUCUUGAGGCAGGUAGGGGCCGGAAGAACAGUAGGUGGAGCGGUGAAAUGCGUAGAUAUCUACUGGAAUGCCGAUGGGGAAGCCGUCCGGCUGGGCCUGUCCUGACGCUGAGGCACGAAAGCGUGGGGAGCAAACAGG
Molecule: ribosomal RNA, 253 nt
Filed under: uncultured bacterium
Lineage: Bacteria
Description: partial 16S ribosomal RNA
Rfam family: Bacterial small subunit ribosomal RNA
Source: RNAcentral